RNAcentral lists this unclassified non-coding RNA (352 nucleotides) under soil metagenome. RNAcentral's name for it is "partial contains 5.8S ribosomal RNA, internal transcribed spacer 2, and large subunit ribosomal RNA". The stretch from base 1 to 120 matches the Rfam family "5.8S ribosomal RNA", at positions 35 to 154 of the family's 154-position model. The record is from RNAcentral.
GAUGAAGAACGCAGCGAAAUGCGAUACGUUAUGUGAAUUGCAGAUUUUAGUGAAUCAUCGAAUCUUUGAACGCACAUUGCGCCCGCCAGUAUUCUGGCGGGCAUGCCUGUUCGAGCGUCAUUACAACCCUCAGGCCCCCGGGCCUGGCGUUGGGGAUCGGCGGAAGCCCCCUGUGGGCACACGCCGUCCCUCAAAUACAGUGGCGGUCCCGCCGCAGCUUCCAUUGCGUAGUAGCUAACACCUCGCAACUGGAGAGCGGCGCGGCCAUGCCGUAAAACACCCAACUUCUGAAUGUUGACCUCGAAUCAGGUAGGAAUACCCGCUGAACUUAAGCAUAUCAAUAAGCGGAGGA